CGUAAACGAUGAUAACUAGCUGUCCGGGGACUUGGUCUUUGGGUGGCGCAGCUAACGCAUUAAGUUAUCCGCCUGGGAGUACGGUCGCAAGAUUAAAACUCAAAGGAAUUGACGGGGGCCUGCACAAGCGGUGGAGCAUGUGGUUUAAUUCGAAAGCAACGCGCAGAACCUUACCAGCGUUUGACAUGUCCGGACGACUUCGAGAGAUCGAUUUCUUCCCUUCGGGGACUGGAACACAGGUGCUGCAUGGCUGUCGUCAGCUCGUGUCGUGAGAUGUUGGGUUAAGUCCCGCAACGAGCGCAACCCUCGCCUUUAGUUACCAUCAUUUAGUUGGGUACUCUAAAGGAACCGCCGGUGAUAAGCCGGAGGAAGGUGGGGAUGACGUCAAGUCCUCAUGGCCCCUUACGCGCUGGGCUACACACGUGCUACAAUGGCAGGUACAGUGGGCAGCAAUCCCGCGAGGGUGAGCUAAUCUCCAAAACCUGUCUCAUGUUCGGAUUGUUCUCUGCA
This 510-nucleotide ribosomal RNA is filed under the name Chryseobacterium sp. D9. RNAcentral describes it as "bacterial SSU rRNA". It matches the Rfam family "Bacterial small subunit ribosomal RNA", at positions 801 to 1309 of the family's 1533-position model. The record is from RNAcentral. Lineage: Bacteria; Pseudomonadati; Bacteroidota; Flavobacteriia; Flavobacteriales; Weeksellaceae.